UUUCGGAAAUAAUUUCUCUGGCCACAGAGCGAAUGGGCGAAAAUGCUUUCACUUUCGAAGGUUCCAUCAAUUGGUCGAAAAUGUCUCUCAGCCGAGUAGUUGCCCCAGCUAACGAUGUGGACGGGAUAGUUUUUGCUCCUGCUCCUUAACUAAUUCCCAGACAAGGUGGGUAUAUAUGUAUAUGUAUGUGUGUGUGUGUGUGUGUGCUUGUGUGUGUGUUUGUGUGUGUGUCGCAUCCGUAGCACAGUCUAACCUCUUUGCCCACACUCUGGCAUCACAUCGAUCAAAGCGAGCAAUUCCCAGCGUAAAUGACAUUAAACCUCCCCCCGCUCACCCCCUUACCCAUCACGAUUGCGGCAUAUAAACUGCCAAGGCAGUUUGCCAGCGUUUGGGGGCUGGGGUUCUGUUCGCUCAACGGAUAUUCUGUGAGAGCAUUAGAGGGUCUCUGAUUGUGCCACGCCCACUUUACCAGCAUAAUGCAUAACUAAUUUUCGCAGUAGAAUCAACAAUGGGUUUGCUGGCUGCAUCUACUGAAAUAUUGAAACAUGAAAAUUGUCAAAAACAGCGACAAGAGCACAAAACCCAACGAGAGAGAGAGAGAGAGAGAGAGAGAGUGAGAGUGAGACAGGCAGGGAGAGGGGGGAGAAUGGGAUGUCAUGAGCAUUACCUGUCAGGCCUGUGCGGAAAUGAAAUUUUGCAAUGAUAUCAAAGAGGUGGGACAAAGUUGGUGUGGAGGCGGGGGCGUGGCAUGAGCUAUGCAUGCAUAUUUCCUCCUGACUGACAAUUUUGACAAUGUUGACAAUUUUUGUUAUGCAAUAAAAAUUAUGUGUGUGGGUGGUGCGUGAUACGUGGCUCAGCCGUGUGUUAUACAAACUGUUAUAUUGCGGCUUUGCUAAUUGUUGAAUUCAUUUGAGUGCACUUUACACUGGCAAUGGAAAUGGGGAGCCCAAGCGCCACUUUUGAUCUCGUUUCCUUCGAUAGGCGAUUAAUUAAUUUUGAUAAUCGGCAGCGAAUAGAGUGGAAUGCAAAGGGAAUAGCUAUGAUGACUAAAAGCACGCAAAUGGAAUUGCUUCCGAGAGCUGGGCACACUGAAAGCACUGAAUGUGCCCCGAUAAAUGCUCGAUACCUCAACAUUGACGACGGCCACACAGUUAUCUGCCGUAGAAGUAGAAAUUCAUUAGCGUCACGUUCCAGCCGUUUGCACCUGCACAUAUACACACAUACACUUGUGUGGCUGUGCUGCUGACCAGACACUUCAGGCGGGGAGGGGCAGCACUCACGAAAAUCCACUAAAGCAAUUCAAUUCAAUUACAAAACGCUCGCCCCAGCCACCCCGGCCACCCCGGCCGCCUCAGUCCGCCCUUGGCCUGUCAAUUAGCGGGCUGUCUAAGCUGAUACGCAUUUUAUGUAGCAUACCUGUGUGCGGGACGCAAAAAUGUUGGCCUUUAAUCAACGCCAAGUUGAGCAGGCCGACGACUUAGCGGCUGAUUGGAUUGCGGCUGCCGCAGCUCACGGGGGGGUGGAGGCUGCUAAGAAGCCCAUGAUAGCAGGAGCUUUAAAAAGGCGGCCGAAGCGGGGUGAGCUGCGUUUUUAUAAUUAGACGCAGCCAAGGCAACAACAAAUUAAAUCAACGACAGCGGGAUUCGGGGCGAGGGGAAGUCAGUUAUUUCCGCUGAACACGAUUUCUGCCCGACCCUCGAUGCGAUGCGAUGCGAUGCGGUAAUUAAAACGACAUUAUUCAAUAUUACAAAUGCGAAAACAGCCAAAGCAAAAAGGAUUUUGAAAGGUAAAAAAAAGGAAUGGGUCGGGCAGGAGACGGCGCGUCGGCUUCAACAGGCGUUUAUUACUCCUCGGACGAAAGCGGACUAUCUAGAUGGGGCCAAGAAAUGGAUAGAAGAGCCAGCGGUAAUGGGAACGGGUUCGGGUUCGGGCUCGUAAAACCCUUUUCCUGCCCACGUUUCCUGCCCUUGGUCCUCAACCUUUGUGGCAAGGUCCGAAACAACGAAUCGACGCUAGGCAAAUCACAAAAAACAUGAUGGAAAAAAGUGCUCGCUGCAGUGCAGUGCAGACGGCGACUGCGACUGCGACUGCGACUGCGACUAUUUUUAAUCACUUCAACAGUUUUAUUGUCUGCUGCCAACGAGCGAGCAAACGCACUCACAAAUUUAAUAGAUUGCCGAGCGGGCGGGCAGCGGGCAGCGGGCAGCGGUUCGUCUGCCAUGGAAGGCGGCUAGCAGCAGAGCAAACAAAAACGCAUGAGCUAAAAUGUAAACAUAAGCACAAAAAGAGAAGGAAAGGCAAGGGGGAGUGAAAAAAAAAACAAGCCGUCAAAGUAGAAAGAGCCGGAAUUUAAAUGCGGGCAACAAGGGGUUAACUCUGCGAGUCAGCCAACGCCUAUUCACAGCAGCAAUGAAUGACUCGUCAGCGCCUGGGGGUAUGCAAUGGAUUUAUGAAGAUAUUCCCCCUCCUGCUGCUGCUGCCGCUGCUGCCACUGCGGCAAAUGAUUUUGUCGAUAAGCAUGAAAGACGCCAAGCCGGUAAAUCUAGCAGCAAUCUGCCCCACGCCCAGCCCGACAGAUGCAUAUCAAUGAAGCCCACGUGGGGGUCUAGCAAAUGCCAUUGCAUGCCACCGUGCCACUCAGCCGCCCUCGGAAGUUUCAGGACAUUCUUGCGCUGGCGUGCGUCAUCGUCCUCGAGCCCAACCUGACACGAAUCUGCACGAUACGGCUGCGUGCCUUCAAGUGUUACACAUUUGCAUUUUGGCUACAAGCACAUACAACACAGCAACAAAGCACACAACAGAGAAGGGAGAACGGAGAAUGGAGAAUGGAGAACAGGGAACUGAGAACUGAGAACUUAGAGCCUGCCAGAGCCGUCAUAGUUGGCGCAAAAAGUAGUUUGCCCUUUAGUUAUGAAAAUUGCGAGUUGCUUUUGUUUUGCGAGCCAUUUUUAGACGCUUAUAAUUGCUCCAUUAAAAUUUGUUUAUGGCCAAAGUUUAUACUUGACAAGCAGGUCGUGUUGAGCUCCGCUGCCAGCCCAGUAAUUAGAACGUCACAACUUUUUCUCCUGCUGUAACUGGGCGCUAUUUUCGGACUCCCUAGAGGAUUAUUUUAGCGAGCACGCUCUCUGCUGCUCUGUCACGAUAUGGAAGCAAGUUAGCUACUUCAAAACUGGAUUGUUUCUCAUUACGAUUUUCCCAUGAACUGAACGUUAUCCGAGCAGUUAGCAAGAAAUCCAAAGUUCUUCAAAAAGUCAAUCUCUGCGUAUCGUAUUUAUAAAAUAAAUGACAUUAAACCCAAUUAAUGGCCCAAUCCAAUUCAUUUCAUUUCAUUUCUAAUCUAUAUAUAUACAAGUAAAGAAAUUGUCCUAAUGUAUUUCAGGGGAUAUCUCUCUUAUAUUUGCAGUAGCUACAGUUUUUCUUGCCAUCAGCAGGGAGCAGAGAGUCAGGUGGACAGUGUCAUUAGCCCACACACACACACACACACACACACACACACACACACAGAGUGACUCUUCCACAUCUUCGCACUUUGUAAUUGGCAAUGAUUGAAAGCUCCUGCCCGGAAGCCAUAGCAUUGCGCAUCGCAUCAUUUGUUAGAUGACACAUGCAAAAAGUUGUUACCUUCCAUCAAUUACCAGAAGGUUAGACAAGGUCGGGCGUCGUCCUGAUGGGGCUUUUACUUUUAAUCUCUGCUCUUGGGGUGCGCUGGAUCUAGCUAACUCUUUCGUUCGGGAAAUUUAAUAUCAUCGCACCCAGAGUUUCUAUUGGCGUUACACUAAAAGGUUUUCACGACGCUUUUAAUUACACGUUAAACAAAAGCAGCGCACACUCACACGCACACACCCAUAACACAGACUGAGACCCGCCCAUCAAGGCCAACCAAUUUUUGUUGCUGCCCCGGUUCGGUUCGGUUCGGUUCGGUUCGGUUUGCAAAUUGCGAGAGUUUGCGAUUUGCGCUUGAUUAAAUUCUAAUUAUAAAGCGUGCGUAUUUCCAGUAGCCGCUUCGCCUCGCUCUGCCCCGCCCCCAUUUUCUCCAUUCACCAUUUCCACUGAUUUUUACGACUUUUUAAUGAUUUUGACUGCCAGUCACUCAUUUCGCCACGUUCCUUGUUGCCGCUGCCGUUGCCGUUGCCGUUGCUGUGGGUAGCUCGCUUCCAAUAGCAGCUAUGCGUGUUAGGUCUUCUUCUUGCUCCUCCUCCUCCUGUUAAUGCUGCUCCUCUGUUUUAGCUUUCCCUUUCGCCAACAGUUUUCCAAUUUUCUUUGGCAUUUCGUUUACGUUUCGAUAAUUCUCGGGUCCUUAUUGGGUUGCUUGGCUGUUGUUGGCCUUGCGUGCAAUUUGCACUGCCUCCAGCGCCUCGACUCCUGCCCCCACCAAGCGCCACUCGCCACCCGCCACCCGCCACCCGCUGCCUGCCGCGUUGCCGCGCCCACUUUGUUUAAUGCGACUUUUAACGCUGAUUAAUGUUUCCUCGUACUGGCUGUCCCUUUACCUUUGCCUUUUGGUUUCGGCUUCGGUUCUGGUUUCCAUUUGGCAUUCUUUUUACUGCGCUUUCACGGCUUGCAUGUCAAAUGGUUCUCUUUUUUCGCAUUAUUUUUUGAUAUUGCGAGAUUUACGAGAAUCGUUUCGAGCGGUGCGUUUAUUAAAUUCAUUAAAAAUAUCCAUUUCGACCGCAGCGAGGCCAACAAAACCAAUAACAGUGACAACAACAACAAAAACAACAACAGCAACAACAAGCUGCGACAUUUAAACAUUUGCCAACUGGCAAGUUAUUUGCUGGCUGUCACAUGUCAAUAAAAUUAACACUUGAAUGGCAAAGCCAACAACGGACAGACAGGCGGACAAGUGGACGGACGGACGGACGGACGGACGGGCAGAUGGACAUAUGAACAGACAGCGUAGAAAUAAUAUAUACAUUUGUCUGUGUGUGUGUGUGUGUGUCUACUUUUUUUAAAUUAAAACAACAACAAUCAAAAGGCCUAAAGGACAACGAGCUAAGCUGCCUGCAAUAAUUUGCUCGACAGCUGCAAAUGCAAAUUUCAGCAUGAACUAAAUUGAAAUUUAUACAGAAAUCUAUGUGGACAUGGCAUGCUGACCGAAUGCUCUCUCUCCCUCUCUCUGUCCCUCUCUCUCUGUCUCUCUCUCUCCCUCAUACUUUGCUGGCUGCUGAAAUGGAAAUUACAUUAAGUGCUCGCUGCAGUCGAGGCGACCCGAACAACAGCCACAACAUUUGCUGCUGUUAUUGGGACAAUUUUCACUAAAAUCAAAGCGAAUUACACUCAAUUGCAAUCAUUUCAUAUUUCCGGACCGCUAACUGCUCUGGCGCCUGAAAUGCUGCCGUUCUUGGCUGCUGCAGCUUCAGCAACAAUAAAUGAAUUUUCCAAGGGAGCCAAAUUGGAAAAUGGAAUAGAUUUUUGAUGUUUAUGUUAAUGUUCCCUACUUACAGCACUGCUGGAGACAUUUCGGAAACGAUUCUAUUUAGAUUUAAAAAUGUUUCAA
Drosophila mojavensis is the source of this 5497-nucleotide long non-coding RNA. RefSeq lists it as uncharacterized. The transcript is spliced from 3 exons. NCBI's taxonomy places the organism in Eukaryota, Metazoa, Arthropoda, Insecta, Diptera, Drosophilidae. The record is from RefSeq and is a predicted model, not a curated record.